AUCACCUGGGGAUAUUGUUAAAAUGCAGAUUUCUGAUUCAGUAGGUGGGGGGUUGGACCUGAGAUCCUGCAUUUCUAACACUCUCCCAAGGUGAUGCUGA
This 100-nucleotide microRNA precursor is filed under the name Bos taurus (domestic cattle). RNAcentral describes it as "mir-544 microRNA precursor family". It matches the Rfam family "mir-544 microRNA precursor family". RNAcentral also lists the same sequence under 1 other name. The record is from Rfam by way of RNAcentral. Lineage: Eukaryota; Metazoa; Chordata; Mammalia; Artiodactyla; Bovidae.